AGUGAACGCUGGCGGUAGGCCUAACACAUGCAAGUCGAACGGCAGCACAGUAAGAGCUUGCUCUUACGGGUGGCGAGUGGCGGACGGGUGAGGAAUACAUCGGAAUCUACUUUUUCGUGGGGGAUAACGUAGGGAAACUUACGCUAAUACCGCAUACGACCUACGGGUGAAAGCAGGGGAUCUUCGGACCUUGCGCGAUUGAAUGAGCCGAUGUCGGAUUAGCUAGUUGGCGGGGUAAAGGCCCACCAAGGCGACGAUCCGUAGCUGGUCUGAGAGGAUGAGCAGCCACACUGGAACUGAGACACGGUCCAGACUCCUACGGGAGGCAGCAGUGGGGAAUAGUGGACAAUGGGCGCAAGCCUGAUCCAGCCAUACCGCGUGGGUGAAGAAGGCCUUCGGGUUGUAAAGCCCUUUUGUUGGGAAAGAAAAGCAGCAGGUUAAUACCCCGCUGUUCUGACGGUACCCAAAGAAUAAGCACCGGCUAACUUCGUG
Molecule: ribosomal RNA, 492 nt
Filed under: uncultured bacterium
Lineage: Bacteria
Description: partial 16S ribosomal RNA
Rfam family: Bacterial small subunit ribosomal RNA
Source: RNAcentral